Molecule: ribosomal RNA, 1371 nt
Filed under: uncultured bacterium
Lineage: Bacteria
Description: bacterial SSU rRNA
Rfam family: Bacterial small subunit ribosomal RNA
Source: RNAcentral
GAUGAACGCUGGCGGCGUGCCUAAUACAUGCAAGUCGAGCGAACGGACGAGAAGCUUGCUUCUCUGAUGUUAGCGGCGGACGGGUGAGUAGCACGUGGAUAACCUACCUAUAAGACUGGGAUAACUUCGGGAAACCGGAGCUAAUACCGGAUAAUAUUUUGAACCGCAUGGUUCAAAAGUGAAAGACGGUCUUGCUGUCACUUAUAGAUGGAUCCGCGCUGCAUUAGCUAGUUGGUAAGGUAACGGCUUACCAAGGCAACGAUGCAUAGCCGACCUGAGAGGGUGAUCGGCCACACUGGAACUGAGACACGGUCCAGACUCCUACGGGAGGCAGCAGUAGGGAAUCUUCCGCAAUGGGCGAAAGCCUGACGGAGCAACGCCGCGUGAGUGAUGAAGGUCUUCGGAUCGUAAAACUCUGUUAUUAGGGAAGAACAUAUGUGUAAGUAACUGUGCACAUCUUGACGGUACCUAAUCAGAAAGCCACGGCUAACUACGUGCCAGCAGCCGCGGUAAUACGUAAGUGGCAAGCGUUAUCCGGAAUUAUUGGGCGUAAAGCGCGCGUAGGCGGUUUUUUAGUCUGAUGUGAAAGCCCACGGCUCAACCGUGGAGGGUCAUUGGAAACUGGAAAACUUGAGUGCAGAAGAGGAAAGUGGAAUUCCAUGUGUAGCGGUGAAAUGCGCAGAGAUAUGGAGGAACACCAGUGGCGAAGGCGACUUUCUGGUCUGUAACUGACGCUGAUGUGCGAAAGCGUGGGGAUCAAACAGGAUUAGAUACCCUGGUAGUCCACGCCGUAAACGAUGAGUGCUAAGUGUUAGGGGGUUUCCGCCCCUUAGUGCUGCAGCUAACGCAUUAAGCACUCCGCCUGGGGAGUACGACCGCAAGGUUGAAACUCAAAGGAAUUGACGGGGACCCGCACAAGCGGUGGAGCAUGUGGUUUAAUUCGAAGCAACGCGAAGAACCUUACCAAAUCUUGACAUCCUUUGACAACUCUAGAGAUAGAGCCUUCCCCUUCGGGGGACAAAGUGACAGGUGGUGCAUGGUUGUCGUCAGCUCGUGUCGUGAGAUGUUGGGUUAAGUCCCGCAACGAGCGCAACCCUUAAGCUUAGUUGCCAUCAUUAAGUUGGGCACUCUAAGUUGACUGCCGGUGACAAACCGGAGGAAGGUGGGGAUGACGUCAAAUCAUCAUGCCCCUUAUGAUUUGGGCUACACACGUGCUACAAUGGACAAUACAAAGGGCAGCGAAACCGCGAGGUCAAGCAAAUCCCAUAAAGUUGUUCUCAGUUCGGAUUGUAGUCUGCAACUCGACUACAUGAAGCUGGAAUCGCUAGUAAUCGUAGAUCAGCAUGCUACGGUGAAUACGUUCCCGGGUCU